Molecule: small nucleolar RNA, 126 nt
Organism: Rattus norvegicus (Norway rat)
Lineage: Eukaryota; Metazoa; Chordata; Mammalia; Rodentia; Muridae
Product: small nucleolar RNA SNORA40
Source: Ensembl
AGCACUUGUAUGGGUUUUUGUUGAACCAGUGGACAAAGACUUAACAAUAGGUGCAAGAACAAAUCCUCUUUUGCAACCCAGAACUCAUUGUUGUAUGAGUUUUUGGUACAUGUAAGAAGGAAUAUC